ACUUUUAUUGGACAGCAGCCGU
RNAcentral lists this transfer RNA (22 nucleotides) under Agama boulengeri. RNAcentral describes it as "partial tRNA-Leu". The record is from RNAcentral. Lineage: Eukaryota; Metazoa; Chordata; Lepidosauria; Squamata; Agamidae.